This 352-nucleotide RNase P RNA is filed under the name human gut metagenome. Its description in RNAcentral is "Bacterial RNase P class A". It matches the Rfam family "Bacterial RNase P class A". Rfam says of the family: Ribonuclease P (RNase P) is a ubiquitous endoribonuclease, found in archaea, bacteria and eukarya as well as chloroplasts and mitochondria. Its best characterised activity is the generation of mature 5'-ends of tRNAs by cleaving the 5'-leader elements of precursor-tRNAs. The record is from RNAcentral.
GACAGCUGCGCGUCAUGCAUCGAAAGGGAUUGAUGUGAGGAAAGUCCGGGCUUCUCAGGGCAAGGAUAACAGAUAACGUCUGCCGAGGGUGACCUUAGGGAAAGUGCAACAGAAAAUUACCGCCGUUUUUUACGGUAAGGAUGAAAAGGCGAGGUAAAAGCUCACCGGCGCAUUGGAGACUUUGCGGCCGUGUAAACCCUAUCCGAAGCAACACCGCACGUGAAAGCCGUUUGAUCGGCGGCGCGCCCUGCGUUUCACAGGUGGCACAGAGCUUUGCGGCGACGCAAAGACAAGAUAGAUAGCUGUCAGGGGUGUGAUAAGUCACACCUUCACAGAACCCGGCUUAUAGGUA